Herpailurus yagouaroundi (jaguarundi) is the source of this 3381-nucleotide long non-coding RNA. RefSeq lists it as uncharacterized. The record is from RefSeq and is a predicted model, not a curated record. Lineage: Eukaryota; Metazoa; Chordata; Mammalia; Carnivora; Felidae. The transcript has 3 exons.
UGCACUUGGUAGAUACCAUUUCCUUAUCACCGUUAUUACCUUCUCCACUUAGGCGAGUAGCUCUUUCUUUCUCCCUGUCCAGGUUAGAGCCCUGCAUCUUGUCACAGACACGGCCUAAGAGCUGCUUCUCUGCCAGGCCUCCUGGGGCCAGGCCUGCACAACUCUGUGGAAGGAAGCUUGGGCCCGCACAGGAAUGGCCUGUAAUUGAUCCCAGUUAGAGGUGGAUAGGCCCUGUCCUCCUCGGCUGGGGCCUCAGGAAGCAGGGUGCUGCCUGAUUUAUGUCCCUGCUGCACCGAGGAUGACCUGGUGACCUCUCUACGUGUCCUAGCAUCAGACAAGGCCAUAAAACAGAAUUGGUGUUGCACAUUUGUUCCUAUCGGGGCUGACUUGUACACUGGUGCACCCAGCUUAGGUCAGUCCCCUGCAGGGCCCUCCCCAGGAAAGGCUGGUGUGUGUGGCCGCUCUGUGCGGCCGGGCCACCGGAAGUUCAGGAACGGUGUGCAGAAGGGAAAUCACAAUCUCGUAUGUUUUCAUGGCUUCCGUGACCAUCCUCAGUGAAAGACACCCAAUCCACAUCCUGAACCUCCAGCUCCCCCACACCCACCCCGGCCUCAGACCCAGUCUCAGUGACCUGCUGGACACCUCCUCCUGCACAUACCAAAGGCCUCGUCUGAACUCAUGGUGUUCGCCUCUCUGCUGGUUCUUCCUCCCUCAUCUGUCGGCCCCAGGAGCUGACACCUGGGCCAAAGAAGUCGCUUCCUCCCUGGCCUGGUGCAGCUUCUUUGCACAGACUCCUUGAUAGCUCUGACCACACCAUUUUGUGGUUAGAACAACUUAUUGCAGCUUUCGCCAUUAUCUGUAUCUCUGUCUCCUCCAAUAGACUGUAAAGUCCUACAGGCAAGAGACCACAUUUGAUUCAUCUCUGCACCCCCAGGGCCUAGUGUAGAGCCUGGCACAGAGGACCUGCCAUGAACCUUUGAUGAAUGAAUGAGUGAAUGGAUGGAUAAAUAGAUGGAUGGAUGGCUGAAUAAUGAGCAUAGAUGUGUAUCUUUCGAGGUAGUUUUCAAAUAAAGAACAGGGCUUCUGAGGAGGGACUCCCAAGUUCCCCUGGGAAUAGUGUGAUUAGAUAUCAGCAUCCUACAGCCAGAUUAACCUUAAAAUUUCAUACUCUGAGCUAUACUAGGACCUCUUCCAUAUUCAGAUGACAGAGACCCAGAGAGGUUAAAUAACUUCCUGAAGGUGAACAGUGAUUUAGUGGCAGAGCCCCCGGAUGAGCCCCCAAACUUCCUGUCUCCACUGUCUGCAGCCUCUUCCUCUCUUUCUACGUGCUGACCUUUAGUGAGCUCUUCAUGAACUCCAGAGCUUGGUUUCCAGAAAUAGAAAGCAGUGGGUCUUCUGGACUAUCUACAGGGUUUUAUUACCAACAAGGUGAUCCAUGGCAGAGAAAUUGAGAUGAGCUGCUCAGAAUUUGCAGUUCUAAGAGUAGCAUAGGACUAUAUGACUACAUGGCCCUUAUCUUCUCUGAGCCUCAGUUUCCUCGCCUGCAAAAUGGGAAUAAGAAUAGGAUCUGUUCCCAGCAUAAUGCAUGUUUUUCACUUUAGGCUCUCGUGAUAGGUUGUAUUAUUAUUCCCAACUAUUUGUUGAACUCUCAGUAAAAGGGUUAUCCAUCUCUGACCAUAGCAAUGAGACUCACAGUGCUUCUCUGUGGGGAGGGCUAUACCUCACUGCCCCCUUGGUGUCUGCCUAGGCCAUUCGCUUCCUUUGGCCAAUGGAACAUGAAUAGAAGCUACAUGUGCCACAUCCCAGCAGACGCUUUAAGAGUCAUUGUAAGACUCAGCCACGGCAUUUUCGCUUCUGUCUCUGGAAUGAUAUAGCGCCACUCCUUCAGUCUGAGACCCAGAAUGUGAACACAUAUAGAACAGGACCUCAAAUGACCUGCUGUCAUGUGGCGUAAAUAAGAAAUAAACCUUGUUGUUGUCAGCUGUUGAGACUGUGGGGUGGUUUCUGCUGCAUAGCCUAGCAAAUGCUGACUAGUAAUCUUUCGCUUAUAAUCUAGACAGACUCGUUUGGGACAUCUUAAAACAGAGGGUAGAGUUUGUCGCAAUGAUAUCCAUAAAAAUGCAUCAAAUCCUUGGGGGUCCUAGAGCUAAGUAUUAGGCAGUAGUCGGAUAAGCUGCCAUAAUAAGAGGUUUCAAAAUAAAAGUCUUAAACAAGGUACACAUUGACUUCUUUCCUAAAACAGAAGACGUAAGUGACUGGUCCAGGGUGGUUAGGAAGCUCUGCUGGGUGAGGUCACCCAAACAUCCAGUUUCUCUCCAACCUGCAUCCCCCGCUACCAUCCAAGAUGUUCUCCUCAUCUCUACCAUGUCCACAUUCCAGCCUGCAGGAAGGAGGACAGAGAGAGCUGGAAUGACCAGUGCUCCUGGUCGUAAGGAGAUGGCCCAGUUUGGUGAAAGAUGUACUUGCUGAGGUAGCAGAGGGCCUCUGGCUGAGGGACAGCUGUGCCCUAUAUCACAAGAUAAGCUACUGAGGCACAGAAAGGUGAAGUACCAACAGGGUCCCCGGUUAGUGGCAGAACCAUUGCAGAUCUAAGCAGCCUGGCUCCGGAGCCUCCGAGUGCAACCUCCGCAUCAUACAGCCUCUCAAGAUGUCAGCAGCCCACCCCAGACCUAAAGAAUCAGAUCCUCUGAGGGGGGGGACAUGGGAAUCUGCAUUUGAACAAGUUUCAAAUAGGUGGUUCUGAUGCACAGCCAGAGUCAGACUGCGGAUCUAAAAAGUAGCAGCAAGCCUGGGGCUGCGUGACUAGAACAAACAAGUCUGCUUCCAGGAUUUUCAAGUUUGUCUGAUCAUGUGAACAUGAAGCCUGCUGAAUAAUGUUGACGGAUUGUGUCCUCUUUGUGAGGGGGGAACCCAAACCCAGGUCAAUCACAAAGAACCUGUGAGCAGAAGGCCAACUCAGGAGACCUGCCCAUGAGACAUUUUCUGAAGGGGCUCCAGCCACUGGCCACCAUCCUUGGAACUCUGUGUACCUGCCUAGUUCCUGGACUUUGAUCUCCCAUCUGACCUCCUUCUCACCCCUGCUCUGAUCUGACAACUCCUGCUGGGUUGACCCCAUCUCUGACCCCAGCCCGCCUGGGUUUUCAGUCUCACUGCUCCAGGCUGAAGUCUCACAGGAUGACAGCCUGAGGCAAGACAGUAUUUGCAUCGGCCACCAAUAAUGGGAGCAGGAUGCCACCUCUUCUAAUGAUGUAAUGACAAAUGGAAUAUUCAUGUUAAAAGAACUGUGACUUUCAGGGUGGAAUUCGGGUAAUCUCAAACCAACUCUGUGACCAUCACUGAACGUGGAAUGUUGAAACAGAAAUAAACAGGCCUUCAUCCCAA